This 253-nucleotide ribosomal RNA is filed under the name uncultured bacterium. Its description in RNAcentral is "partial 16S ribosomal RNA". It matches the Rfam family "Bacterial small subunit ribosomal RNA", at positions 524 to 776 of the family's 1533-position model. The record is from RNAcentral.
UACAGAGGUCUCAAGCGUUGUUCGGAUUCAUUGGGCGUAAAGGGUGCGUAGGCGGCGCGGUAAGUCGGGUGUGAAAUCUCGGGGCUUAACUCCGAAACUGCAUUCGAUACUGCCGUGCUUGAGGACUGGAGAGGAGACUGGAAUUUACGGUGUAGCGGUGAAAUGCGUAGAUAUCGUAAGGAAGACCAGUGGCGAAGGCGGGUCUCUGAACAGUUCCUGACGCUGAGGCACGAAGGUCAGGGGAGCAAACGGG